AACGGAGGCAGCAGUAGGGGGAUCUUCCACAAUGGACGAAAGUCUGAUGGAGCAACGCCGCGUGAGUGAAGAAGGGUUUCGGCUCGUAAAACUCUGUUGUUAAAGAAGAACAUAUCUGAGAGUAACUGUUCAGGUAUUGACGGUAUUUAACCAGAAAGCCACGGCUAACUACGUGCCAGCAGCCGCGGUAAUACGUAGGUGGCAAGCGUUGUCCGGAUUUAUUGGGCGUAAAGCGAGCGCAGGCGGUUUUUUAAGUCUGAUGUGAAAGCCUUCGGCUCAACCGAAGAAGUGCAUCGGAAACUGGGAAACUUGAGUGCAGAAGAGGACAGUGGAACUCCAUGUGUAGCGGUGAAAUGCGUAGAUAUAUGGAAGAACACCAGUGGCGAAGGCGGCUGUCUGGUCUGUAACUGACGCUGAGGCUCGAAAGUAUGGGUAGCAAACAGGAUUAGAUACCCUGGUAGUCCAUACCGUAAACGAUGAAUGCUAAGUGUUGGAGGGUUUCCGCCCUUCAGUGCUGCAGCUAACGCAUUAAGCAUUCCGCCUGGGGAGUACGGCCGCAAGGCUGAAACUCAAAGGAAUUGACGGGGGCCCGCACAAGCGGUGGAGCAUGUGGUUUAAUUCGAAGCUACGCGAAGAACCUUACCAGGUCUUGACAUACUAUGCAAAUCUAAGAGAUUAGACGUUCCCUUCGGGGACAUGGAUACAGGUGGUGCAUGGUUGUCGUCAGCUCGUGUCGUGAGAUGUUGGGUUAAGUCCCGCAACGAGCGCAACCCUUAUUAUCAGUUGCCAGCAUUAAGUUGGGCACUCUGGUGAGACUGCCGGUGACAAACCGGAGGAAGGUGGGGAUGACGUCAAAUCAUCAUGCCCCUUAUGACCUGGGCUACACACGUGCUACAAUGGAUGGUACAACGAGUUGCGAACUCGCGAGAGUAAGCUAAUCUCUUAAAGCCAUCUCAGUUCGGAUUGUAGGCUGCAACUCGCCUACAUGAAGUCGG
RNAcentral lists this ribosomal RNA (995 nucleotides) under Lactiplantibacillus argentoratensis. RNAcentral's name for it is "bacterial SSU rRNA". It matches the Rfam family "Bacterial small subunit ribosomal RNA", at positions 341 to 1329 of the family's 1533-position model. The record is from RNAcentral. Lineage: Bacteria; Bacillati; Bacillota; Bacilli; Lactobacillales; Lactobacillaceae.